AGUUAGAUACCCUCCUAUCAAGAGGUGAUGUCAUCCUUGACACGGGAGUGGACACAAGAUGUAGGCGCCAUCUUGUUAGCACGAGGUGUUCACUCGAUGGGAGGGGUGCUUUGGCAGCCAUUUUGAGUAGUUAGUAUUGUUAGCUUCAAGGUUCUUUUAGCAAAUACACAUUUUAUUAUUCAGCACAUUUCCUCCUGACAAAGCAUUAGCUUAGAUAAUUUCAAG
Non-coding RNA from Pelobates cultripes (western spadefoot toad), 225 nucleotides. The record is from the annotation of a GenBank genome assembly. NCBI's taxonomy places the organism in Eukaryota, Metazoa, Chordata, Amphibia, Anura, Pelobatidae.